This 69-nucleotide transfer RNA is filed under the name Aphredoderus sayanus (pirate perch). RNAcentral describes it as "tRNA-Gly". It matches the Rfam family "tRNA". From Rfam's summary of the family: Transfer RNA (tRNA) molecules are approximately 80 nucleotides in length. Their secondary structure includes four short double-helical elements and three loops (D, anti-codon, and T loops). The record is from RNAcentral. Lineage: Eukaryota; Metazoa; Chordata; Actinopteri; Percopsiformes; Aphredoderidae.
AUCUCUCUAGUACAAAAAGUAUAAGUGGCUUCCAACCACCCGGUCUUGGUUAAAAUCCAAGGAAAGAUA